Long non-coding RNA from Pantherophis guttatus, 2655 nucleotides. RefSeq lists it as uncharacterized. The record is from RefSeq and is a predicted model, not a curated record. Lineage: Eukaryota; Metazoa; Chordata; Lepidosauria; Squamata; Colubridae.
CGCCACGCGGGAGGGCACUCGGGACGCGAGGGCGGGAGGGUUGGAGCAGCGCCAGCCCGGUAUCCAUUCCAGGCGCUUCCUUCCCGUCAGUCUCUUCCUCCAAGCGGCCUGGCGGCGACGGAGCCUCAAAACAAAUGCACAUGGCCCUCCCCCGCAGCGCAGGGAGGGGGCCUGUGGGCGAGUCCCGCGGGGAGGGCAGGUGAGGGGAGUCAGCCCUCCUUGACCGCAUUUUAUUUUAUUUUUUCUUUAUUUUUUUCUCUUCCUUCCCGAGGCGAAGGGGCGCUGGGUGGCCAACCGCUCCUCUCUGGGCGGGGAACAGUCCGCGCGGGAGCAAAGCCGCUUCGUCCUGCGUGCGCGCGUGUGAGCAAGCGAGCGUUUCGGGAGCCGCAGGGUCCGGGGGCAGAAGGGUGAGUGAGUGAUCCCAGUUCGUCCGGCGCCGCCGUUCCCUUAAACGGCGUUCAGGAGAGCUGCCGAGAGGUGGGGUAGAGCGGAGGACAAGCGGUAGGAUCCGCGCCCAGAGAAGGGAGCUCAGGUGAAGAGAACGCCUUCGCUGGAACGACGACAGGGCGCUACCGAAGGCGCUACCCGUUGGGGAGAAUUAACGGACGCUGAGCGCGGGGCCGGAACACCCCCACACACACACACAGCACGAGAGCGCGCUUUCUUCUCCCGGAAUCCUGGGUAAGGGGGAGGGGGGAGAAAUAACCGACCCUGUCCGCCUCUCUCCCUCCGCCGGCCCCAGCCAUGGAGACCCUGAAGCCUCCCUUCAACGCCGGCGGCUGCUCAGCGCUUAAGGUGGUGCAGCAGGAAUCCUUUUCCCUCCGUCAGGCGGAGACGUCUCGGCGAAUUCUCCCCCCCCCCCUCGCCCUGUUCCUCCUCCUCCUCCUCUCGCCUUCCUCGGCGCUGCCGUUGGGGGAAGCCCCGCGCGCGCCCGGCCGUUCGUCCGCCCAACUGCCAGAGAAGGACCAGCAUUCCUGCUGCAGCUCAGCAAAAUUCUUGGCCCCCUUAAGAGUGCUUGAUUUUACGGUGGCGCUAGAGGGUCAAAAAAAAAAAAUCCCCUCAGCCUGAAUGGGUUUCGGGGUUGUGCGGUUUUUUUCUAAUCGCGGCGACGGUAGAACGUUUUUAUAAAGAUUUGGGAGGAUGUGGAUUCUUUCGCCCGUUUAGAAGAGUAGCAGGACGAGGGGAAUUAGUUUGAAUGAGAGCCGUUGAGAUGGAGGCAAUUCAGAUAUACCCUCACUAAAGAAGAACGAAGAAAAAGUAUUGUCCUGUCAACGCCUGCCUGGAGUCAAACUUGACUUCUGAGGAAUUCGUGGCCACGUCCACGAAGCUAUCCUGGCAACAGUAAAAAUAAAAAAAAGUGGUUCGCGUUAACUUUUUCCAGGAUUGAGUUUUUUAGACUUCCCAAACAGCUUCAUUACGAAUAUAAAAUUCAGGAAAACAGAUGAAGAAAAAAAAAUCGGGUGAGAAGAGGAGACUUUAAAAAAAACCCAGUUUCCUCUUCCUUCAGAAGAGUUAUUCGCCGACGAGUAGAUCGAGGCGAGCAUUUAGCCCACGCAAAAUUAGGUUGUCUUAACCCACGCGGAUCUACCGCCUUUGGGGCUCCCGAGAGGGUAUGUUUAUGUUUAGACUUCCUCUGGCGGACCCCAGGUAUUUCACCGUCAGGGGGGUGAAAGAAAUGCAAAGGCUUGGUGCGUCCCCACCACCAAACACCCUAUUCUGUCAGACAUAUAUUUCUGACGUCCUGAAGUGAAAGCCUUUCCGCAACUGUCAUGCACGAGUGAGCAGAACCGGCGAACCCCAGUAGCUGCCGCAAAAUUACGGCGAAGCGCCUCCUGUGCGCCGAGGCUGCUGAAGCCGGGUAACCUUUACAACCGGGGCCGAAGAACACCCCCCCCCCCAAAAAAAAAGACCAGGUAAACUUAAUGUAAUCUCGCUGGAGACUGUAUCCGGUUGAAAAGCAAAAGAAGAGUCUCGGCUCUCAUUUUCCUCAUCCCUCCCAACACCAACACUCCUUUAGUAGUUUUGCGAGCCGCUGCGGUGGACGCUUUCAGCCUUCGGCAGAGGCACAAAGCGAGGUGGUGACUUUGGACUUCGGGCUCCGCCGAGAACUGGAGUCUGGAGGGGAAAGACGCGGCGUUCGCGCUCUUCUUCCAUCUCACGAGGAUGGACUUACUAGGCUAGACUGCUGCAGCUCGCCUCUCCGUCGACCUUUCUGUGGCCAUCUGGGGAUAGAGACCCCCCACUCUAGGAAGCGCUGCUGGUUGGCAGCUCCGGAACUACGGAGAACCCCUGACUAGGCUACCAGUAUCUCCUGCCACGAUGCAAGAUCUACUUUAUUUACUACUAAAAUUCUUGUGUCUGUUUGUCUGUUUGUAACAUUCAAUUGGACAAAAUGGUGCAUCAUAUGGGAACAAGUUUUCAACCAACAAAGUAUAUCAGAUGGACUAACUGACAGACCAGGACCCAUCAAUCCAGUGAGAAUGAAAUUUGGGGACGUUGUGGCCUCUUCAGCAUCAUUACCGGGCAAACAGAAAAAAGAAAUACUGUUUCCUGAUUCCUACUUACAUCUUUCUUCAUUCCCUUCUCUCUAUGUAACCACAGAAUAUUUGAAAUAGUGCCCGUAAUUAAACCCAUUUCCUUCAGCUUGUCCUAAGA